GGGGAUGUAGCUCAGUCGGGAGAGCGCCUCGUUCGCAACGAGGAGGGCGCGGGUUCAAGUCCCGUCAUCUCCACCA
This 76-nucleotide transfer RNA is filed under the name Candidatus Acetothermia bacterium. Its description in RNAcentral is "tRNA-Ala". It matches the Rfam family "tRNA". Rfam says of the family: Transfer RNA (tRNA) molecules are approximately 80 nucleotides in length. Their secondary structure includes four short double-helical elements and three loops (D, anti-codon, and T loops). Lineage: Bacteria; Candidatus Bipolaricaulota. The record is from RNAcentral. RNAcentral also lists the same sequence under 1 other name.